RNAcentral lists this long non-coding RNA (224 nucleotides) under Capsicum annuum. Its description in RNAcentral is "long non-coding RNA (CANN_LNC001112)". The record is from RNAcentral. Lineage: Eukaryota; Viridiplantae; Streptophyta; Magnoliopsida; Solanales; Solanaceae.
UCAAGAGAUGUAAUUAUGAGUUUUUGGGUUAAAUUUGAUAUUUUAUUAAUCAAAUUAAAAAAUUCUAAAAUUAAAUGGGUCAAUCCAUCUAAAAAUAACAAAAUUAGAAAAAUAGCCUACUCCUAUCCUCCCGACCCAGCUCAAUCCAAGUCUAUAAAAGCUACAACAUCUAACCCUUGAGUAGGGUUUUCAAUAACGAUCAGCACCUCCUAUUUUCAGCUUCC